AGCGGCGGACGGGUGACUACACGUGGGCAACCUGCCUGUAAGACUGGGAUAACUCCGGGAAACCGGAGCUAAUACCGGAUAACCUUUUGAACCGCAUGGUUCAAAAUUGAAAGACGGUUAUGCUGUCACUUACAGAUGGGCCCGCGGCGCAUUAGCUAGUUGGUGAGGUAAUGGCUCACCAAGGCGACGAUGCGUAGCCGACCUGAGAGGGUGAUCGGCCACACUGGGACUGAGACACGGCCCAGACUCCUACGGGAGGCAGCAGUAGGGAAUCUUCCGCAAUGGACGAAAGUCUGACGGAGCAACGCCGCGUGAGUGAUGAAGGUUUUCGGAUCGUAAAGCUCUGUUGUCAGGGAAGAACAAGUGCGGGAGUCACUGCCCGUGCCUUGACGGUACCUGACCAGAAAGCCACGGCUAACUACGUGCCAGCAGCCGCGGUAAUACGUAGGUGGCAAGCGUUGUCCGGAAUUAUUGGGCGUAAAGCGCGCGCAGGCGGUCUUUUAAGUCUGAUGUGAAAGCCCCCGGCUCAACCGGGGAGGGUCAUU
Molecule: ribosomal RNA, 545 nt
Filed under: Bacillus sp. CH113a
Lineage: Bacteria; Bacillati; Bacillota; Bacilli; Caryophanales; Bacillaceae
Description: bacterial SSU rRNA
Rfam family: Bacterial small subunit ribosomal RNA
Source: RNAcentral